AUUCUGCCCAAGCGGGGAAGGAUGAGAAGCUUCGACCAAGGUUCGACUUGAGCGCCAGCGAGAGAGCGUUGCCGCAGGCAACGACCCGAAGGCCGAAGCGCGCAGCGCUGAGUAAUCCUUCCCCCACCACCA
Molecule: small RNA, 132 nt
Filed under: Escherichia coli
Lineage: Bacteria; Pseudomonadati; Pseudomonadota; Gammaproteobacteria; Enterobacterales; Enterobacteriaceae
Description: RtT sRNA
Rfam family: RtT RNA
About the family: This family represents a bacterial cis-regulatory element known as RtT RNA. The exact function of RtT is unknown although it is thought that it may be involved in changing the cellular response in relation to amino acid starvation.
Source: RNAcentral